This 416-nucleotide RNase P RNA is filed under the name Planctomycetota bacterium. RNAcentral describes it as "Planctomycetes bacterium RNase P RNA component class A". It matches the Rfam family "Bacterial RNase P class A". Rfam says of the family: Ribonuclease P (RNase P) is a ubiquitous endoribonuclease, found in archaea, bacteria and eukarya as well as chloroplasts and mitochondria. Its best characterised activity is the generation of mature 5'-ends of tRNAs by cleaving the 5'-leader elements of precursor-tRNAs. Cellular RNase Ps are ribonucleoproteins. The record is from RNAcentral. Lineage: Bacteria; Pseudomonadati; Planctomycetota.
UGGCAUGGGCAGGCGGCCGCCGGCCGGGCGCUCGGGGCGACCCGGGCGACCCCGCGCCGGAGGAAAGUCCGAGCACGGCAGGGCGCGACGGUGGGGGAAACCCCACGCGGCCUCUCGAUCGGGGUCGCGGGUUAGGAGAAGAAAACAACCGCCGAUGGCGCCCCCGGGCGCACAGGCAAGGGUGAGAAGGUGCGGUAAGAGCGCACCAGGCGGCGGGUGACCGUCGCGCUGUCAGACCCCCGUCGCGUGCAAGGUCAAGCAGCCCCCUCCCGCGUCCGGCGCGGGACGGCCGGCCCGGCCGAUCCGGGGGCGGGUGGACCGCUGGCCCGCGGUCGCAAGGCCGCGGCAAGAGAAAUGGCCGCCCACCGGCGCGAGGGCGCCGGGGACAGAACUCGGCUUACCGCCCAUGCCCGAUC